RNAcentral lists this long non-coding RNA (1077 nucleotides) under Heterocephalus glaber (naked mole-rat). RNAcentral's name for it is "lncRNA (ENSHGLG00100049348.1)". The record is from RNAcentral. Lineage: Eukaryota; Metazoa; Chordata; Mammalia; Rodentia; Bathyergidae.
GCUAGCAUCAUUACUACUUGGAAUAUCAGUCCUUUGAAGGCUUUCAGUAUGUUCAAUGAAUUAUAAAAAGUCCACUGAAACAUUUUUUAAUGAAAAUCAGUGUUGAAGGAAAAAAAGAGUCUCAGCAGAGCACUAAAAAAUUUGAAGGAAUUUUAGUGAAUAAAUAAGAUCAACUGAGGAGAAAAGAGAACAGAGGAUACCUUAGCUUCAAAUGAUGAAUGAAAAAUCUGUCUUUCUCAAGACACCCAAAGAAUAGCUUCAAAUUUCAGCCAGGAAAAGUAGAAAACAGGAACGGAGAGAGGACGAAGAGCUACCAUCUGCCACUGGGAAUGACAGCUGACUACCUAGCUGAGGAUCCUUUGAAAUAAGUCGAGAUGGUCAAGUAAAUGAACACCAAAGCAGGAUCUCCAACAAAAGGAAAAAGUGAUUGUGUAUGGACAUGCCAUUCUAUUGGAGAGUUUCUAUUAAAAUACCUUUAUGACUUACAAGUUAAAAUUGUCAGGAUCAUGCUGUGAUAUGAUAUGGAAGAUUAAAUAUAGGAAAAUAUUUAUAGUAUAACAAAAAUGUACACAACCAUAUACAUAUUUAUUUCCAAAGGACUUUAAAUCAGUAGAAAUUAAUUUUAUUCAUUUAUUGCUGAAUAAUCUGAAUAAUUUUGGAAAAUUGUGAUUGGUAAAGAAAUGAAGAAUGUUUAUAUCUCUGGAAGUUGUAUUACUUUUAUAAUAAUGAAGUAAAUUCACCAAAUCUAUAUUCACAUGACAGUUACAAGUUCACAAAUGUAUAUUUAUAGAUACAUAAAGUGUGAUCUCUUUAAAAGUAAUUUGGGAAAUUGUUGAAUCUUAUGACCUUAUUAUCAAAUGUUAGUAUUAUAUAUAGAUCAUUACAGAGAAAGAAAGAAUGGAUUAUAUGUUUAUGUGUUCUCAAGGUCAUUGACUAGUCAUUACAUCAAAGUUAUUGAAUGGUCAUUAUAUUAUCUGAAUAAUUCCUUCAAUAACCUUGAGAGAGGUUAAAUAGCACUACUUAUCAUUUUCAUGUUACAAUUGCAAAAAUUAACAGUGAAAUAAGAAUAAAAGGAAU